Xenopus laevis (African clawed frog) is the source of this 700-nucleotide RNA transcript. It is a transcript of the gene named hydroxysteroid (17-beta) dehydrogenase 7 L homeolog, with no coding region annotated. The transcript is spliced from 3 exons. The record is from RefSeq and is a predicted model, not a curated record. Lineage: Eukaryota; Metazoa; Chordata; Amphibia; Anura; Pipidae.
UGGUUGGUUACAUUAAUAAAAUGUUUAUUGUAGAGCCAAUGCAGCUGAAAAUGUAUUUUAAAUUAAACACCAGUAUAAUGUAUUUAUCUUAAUUUUGCAGAUCCGUGUUAUCACAAACUCUUUUACAAUCUCAACAUUCAAUGAAGCAGAGGCAUUGAUGUGGCUGUUUAAUCAAAAGGCAGAAUCACUUGACCCCCUGUCAAAAUAUAACAGCUGCACAUCAGGACUGGGAAAUAAUUAUGUUCAUUUAACAAAGAUGGCUGUUGAUGAGCGGAGUGGAGACUUGUUAUUUCAGAAGAUGCUGGAAUUAGAAAAGGAGAUUCUUCAAAAAUGUAUCUCUGAACAUAGAAAUUCAUAGAUUUCUCCAGGCAUUUUUUUUUAUCAUUUUACAGGGAUGUCUUGUCCUCCCAUUGUUCAGCAACCUUAUUGGAAACCUUCAGAAGCAACGUUUUUGAGGGGAAAUUUGGAGACGCUUAUAACAUCAGUUAACAGGUCUCUGGAUACAUAACUCAGUUUUUUGGGGUAUAAACUGAAUGAUGAUUUCCUGCUCUGUUUGUAAUUGUCUUAGGAGAAUUAUACAAUUGUACCAGUAUGGGAUCUAUUAUCCAGAAUACUUGAGAUCUGGGGUUUUCCAGAUACAGGGCCUUGCUGUAAUUUAGGGCACUACUGUACUACAUUUAAAUAAAAAAAAAUUUAAAUA